RNAcentral lists this long non-coding RNA (2137 nucleotides) under Mus musculus (house mouse). RNAcentral describes it as "long non-coding RNA chr19:55923102-55925239". The record is from RNAcentral. Lineage: Eukaryota; Metazoa; Chordata; Mammalia; Rodentia; Muridae.
AGCGUUGCCCACCUGUAGGCUACCUGUGUGCGUUUAAAGCAGGCUGGACUAAGGCAUGAGAUGCUGAGUGUUGGGCGUAAUACAUGCAUCUGUGGGUUGUAAUCUCUGUUAUGGUUAUGUUAUGAUAUGGUUGUUGGGGUAUCAUCAGAGGAAUCUGUAGCCGGCAUAAGAGAAUGAGAGAUCCCUUCCCUGGGCUUAUGCAUGUCCGCCCUGCAGUUUUGAACUUCCCCAUUGGCUUUCUUUUGUAAACACCCCCACCCCAACUCUGUACCAUUAAAAAGAAAAAAAAAAAAAAAAGAAGGGUCACGCUCCAUUUCUGAAAGAAACCAUUUUGGUAGGGACACUUUGGCCUUCAUAGUGAGAGACUGUGGGGUAGCUAGGCCAGCUGUGGACCACUGGAGGCUCCCAGGUUUCUCUACACCCUUGGAAGUGGACUCAUCCUGCUUCCUGCUGUGGCUCUCCAUCCCUCCCUGAAUCUUUCUUGCCUCCUUCUCUUCCUCUUUAUGGAAUCAGAUCCUCUGGGUUAGGUUAAAGAUGGAUGAAGGCCAUGAGGUCUUAUCAUAUCUACCUGCUGGGCCCCUGUUUUUCUCCCAAGAAAUGUGUGUCUCCCCCAUCCUACCCCUGCCUUGACCCCCAGCUAGGCAGUGUUCAAGGAUUAGAUUAGAUAGAUUUGGGAGAGAGGUAGUGAUGGCAGACUGGUCCCCUCUUCUGGCUCCCCUGCCCUAUGAACCCAGACCUCUAUCUCCUUGUCUAUUUCUUGGCCUAAUCUCCUGCAUUUCUUCUGUCCAUCCAGGGGAAGAAGAAGAAGAGAAAAAGAGACAAGCAGCCGGGGGAAACCAACGGUGAGCGAGGAGAGUCAGGGAGGUGGAGGUUGGAGGACCACUCUUAUGUCAGGCUUCCCUCUGGGGGAGGCAGGAGAAAUCCAAGGCCAGGACAUUGCGGGGAACCCAUCUUAGGCAGCCUUUUUUGUUUAUGUGUUUUUUAAUUAAUUGCUUCAUGACUGCCCUUUUAAAGCUAGUAGCAUCCAUUGUUGCAUGAAAAGCCCGUUGUAACCCUAGCGGAAUGUGUUUUUAAAUUAACUGCCAAGCCUGUAACUAGAGGGCCAGCGUCAGUCACGCCUCCACCGGGCUUUAGACAGCCUGCUUAUUCUGUGUGUGUCUGAAGAGGGAUGAGGAGGCGAGGGGGCCAGGAGGGGCGUGUGUGAGUGUCGGGUUUUAACUGGGCUGAUCCUGAAUGUUUCAAUGCAUGCCUUUACAGUGGUAAAUUGCACCCAUUUUAAAUUAAGGAGGUUUGUCAUUCAGUAGGAAGAAACUAGAAAUACUGCAUAGGCAAUCAAGGUCCCUUGGAGAAGACCAGGUUUUGACAAAAACAAAAACAAAAACAAAAACAAUUUUGAAGGCUUUGUGUAAUUUGUUCUUUUUUUUCAGAACACAGCGAAUGUUUCCUAAAUCCUUGCCUUUCGCUUCCUCCGAUCACAGGUGCUAAUGUGCUUUUGAGUCGUUAAAAUAGUUUGAUAAACUGUUUUUUUUUUUUCAUUUUUCUUGCCAUCUAUAGUCUUAUUAACAUUAAACAUAUACAACAUUUGAACACCCUUUAAAACGAUCAUCUACAUGGUUGCGUUAUGUUUCGGUAGAUUUUUUUUUUUUCCAGUUUUGCUUUCGUUGAUUUUAUUUAUUUAUUUAUUUAUUUAUUUAUUUUUACUUUAACUUCUGUCUCAUUUUAUCUAUUGUUCCUGUAACAGUGGUUUAUGCAGCAUUGAACAGUGGUUUAGAGCUGAACUAACUGUGCAAAUUGAAUAUGCAGUAUUUCUUUAAAAGAGACUGAUAAAGAAAACAAAAACGGAACAAACUCAGUAAUAAACCUCCUUAAUCUAAUGGCAUUUUUUUCUGUUGCCCCACUAAGUUUCCUCACGCCAGCAUGCCAUCGCAGUAUGAUUUUUUUCCUUUGCUUUUUAUUUAUUUAUUUUUGUUUGUUUGUUUGUUUGUUCUUCCUUUCGCUUUUUUGGCUUUUAUCAUCUACAAAUCUGCUAGCAGUUUACUGACCAUGCCUGCUUCCAAGCCUGCUAGGAGCUCCUAACAUUUAACAGCUCAUGGCCUGUUUACCCUCUCUUCCCUCUUAAUAUUAAUGAAAGUAGAUU